ACUGUGAGAAAGGAGACGAUUUGGCUAUUAAAACACACGUUUGUAGCUGCAGAUUAGUGAUGUGAAGAAAUUUAAAAGAUGGAGUCACACUGAAAAUUAUUUUCCUUGAGGGCUAUUUAGCAAGUUGUAGAAACCUUAGAAGAUGUGGAUUUUAGCAAAUGUUAUUAAUAGGCAAUCAAUAUUAGUGUGGAUAAGGCCCUGUGGCUAGGUUUAGUAACAGUAGUCCUUGACUCAAACCCAACAUUGCACCUUAGUAGUACAAGGCCUUAUUGUUCUUGUGAAUGAAUGCUCAUACUCAAGAGAAAGUGUCCUUAGAAAUAACUACUGCAACUUACAUGAAACUCUAGACCUGGCCUUGUUCAUUAUGUAAGUGCUUCACAGUUGAGCAUUCAUGAGUUACAAGAUUCCAGGGGCCAACAAGCUCUGAGCCUGUUCUGGGAUGUGCGAGAGGUUACACUGGCAUUUCCCUGGCUCCGCAGAGAAUUUUAAUCUGGCGUGGUUCAAGGAGCCCAUGUCAUAUACACAGCCUGAUUCUCAGACCUGAUUGAAAAAUCAAACCAAACCAAAAACCUUAAGAAAAUAUACAGAGGUAACCCAGCACAGCCUACAGUGGGACACCAGCAGGGUGAGCUGGGGGGACAACCAGGAUCCCUAUUAAACUCCAAGUGUGUCAGGAAGCACAAUUUGAUGUGUGCACUGUAUGUGACAGUGUAACUGUCCCCUUGAGUUAGAGCAGGGUCCCUCUGGGUGUUUGUGAUUCCUCAUUUCUUCACACUUGCCUAGGCUAUAUUCAUGCAAUUUACUAACUGUCCCAGCAACAGUAAAGAGCUCACUGUGAGCGUCUCCCGUCACAGAUGAGGACACUGACAUAUAAAAAGAUGAAGCAAAUCGUCACCCAAUAGAUCAUGGACGAAACGCCAAGCCUUCACUUCCUCUCAGAGCAGAGAGAGAAGCUACAGCUAAUCUGAACAACAUUCAGAAGGAAGGGUUCUACAAGUUCAUUGUGAACUGGACCAUGAAAUGCCCUCAUUUUCUUGGAAGGCCUAGGUUUACAAAUUGUUAUAAACACGUGAUUGAUUCGACUCCCCCAGUUACACAUAUUUUUAUAACGAUCAAAUCCAGUCCCUUGCUUCUUUCAGUAACCUAAGUAAGAGAAGGUGUAAGGGAAAGUUGAAAAGGGGGGAUUUCCUACACAAUUCAUGGUAUAUGAAACAUGUAAGAAAUUCACAUUUCAGAGCCCAUAAAUAAACCUCAUCAGAGCACGGGAUGCUCACGUGACAAUAACCACAGCUAGUCUCCCAACAGUUUGUCACAGAAUUCCUGAUCUCUACAAAGCUGGUGUAUGCUUUUGGAGCCCUUAAGAAAAGUUUGCCAUUUCCUGCUGUGGGCUCUUGGGGUGUUCUGGGUUCAGUUCUGAUGUGAGACCCACAGGCCAUUAGCUCUCAGCUAGAGGCAUCUGCAUUUGGAGAGCUGAGAGCUGACCUGUGUUUCACCAGUGUGCUGAAUGGCUUGCUAUUUUGCUAUUGGUUUUUGUUUUUGUUUUUGUUUUUGUUUUAAUAAUAUAUACUGUUUUAAUUUUUUUGUGAAACGUUUUCCUGUUUCUUACUAAAAUUGCUAAGCUUCAUCAUUUACAACAUUCCCUUUGCAAAGAUCUGUGGAAUUCUUUUUUCUUUUUAAGUACAUUUAUAUUUAAUUUGGGGGGAGGAGUGUGCAGUGCUUUGCCAUGGGUGGAGGUCAGAAGACAACUUGUGGGAGUUAGUUCAUGCCUUCCUCUGUGUAUCCUGGGACUUGAACUCAUUAGGCUUGGUAGCAAACACCUUUGCCCACCGAACCACUUGACAAAUGCACUUUAUAAAUCAGUCUUUCUAUAAAGAUCCAUAGGAGAAGUUUCUGCCUUAAUGCAGAGGUUCAUAUUUUCCUGAAUUCUGUGACUAUUCAGGUUUUCGAUUUUAGACGAAUGCCCAACUGCUGCCCAGAACUGAAGGUGCGACUUACUUCAUGUUUUGUGUUAGUGAGCUUUAAUCUUCAUUUUUAUGUUUCUGGCUUACUUUCUCUUUUCUUUUCUCUUCUAAUUUAUGAACUUUCAUCGUACAUUUUAAGGGAACUAUGCAGAACACUAAAAGUAUGCAAAAAUGAAUUAUAAAUACAUUUGAAUCUUAAUUCAAAUAAUAAAUGUAUUUGAAUCUUCGAGGCAGAGCUUCGCCAAGGCUUCCAUUGCUGUCCUGUGUCUAAGAGCUCUUUGCUUUCUGUGUUUUAUCUGGGCCUUCUGCAGGUACUGUAUCCAUCUGCAGGAUCUGAGCCCAGUGGGUGAAGUUACUGAGCACUGAGGGUUUUCUGGCUGAGUCUUAGGGGCCUUUCAAGAGGGCUCGUGACACAGGUCAGAGGUUCCUCACUAGGCUCCAGAGAGUUCAAAGUUGCAAACAUAAAAGGGGACAACAGAUUUUAUACCUAUAAUGGAAAUUUAGCCCAUCACAAGCAGAGACAGCAAACUAUAACAGUGUUACUAGUAUUUAUAACCAUGUUGCCAAUAGAAACCAUGGGUGUUUUCACAUCACAUCACAUCACACACACACACACACACACACACACACACACACACACACACACACGGUUGCAGAUACUACAGAGUAUCUGAGCUCUUUAUCACUACAGGGUAAAGUUUGUUGCUAAGCUCUCUAUAGACAGCUAGGUCUUGUCAAUUCAUGAUAGAUAAAUAUAUUUAUUAUUAGGACAUACCUUAAAUGCUUUGACAAUUGUAAUUCAGUUUUUGUUUGUUGCCAUCCUUAGUGUUCUAUGCACUUAGAAACACUUUUUCCUAAGAAGGGGGUCCUAGGCUGACAAAGAUUUAUAUUUCUUUGCUAUGUAUUUCAUUGAGGCAAGGUCUUAUUAUCUUCCAUCCUAGCUUCAAACUAAUCAGACUUUCCUGCCUCGGCGCCCUCCCCUUCCAAAUACUAGAUUACACUACACACAUAUGCCAUCAUUCCCAACUCCCAAAGAGAUCCCUGAUUC
RNAcentral lists this long non-coding RNA (3009 nucleotides) under Mus musculus (house mouse). RNAcentral describes it as "long non-coding RNA chr19:32606206-32609215". The record is from RNAcentral. Lineage: Eukaryota; Metazoa; Chordata; Mammalia; Rodentia; Muridae.